CUUAUAUAAUUUUGUAAUCAUUUGUAUUUCUUCAUAACAAAUAUUUUAAACUUUGGAUCACAAAAUUUGAAUGUGAGGUUUUUAACAGUUUUAGUAAUUUAUAGUCGUUUUUAAAAAUUCAAAAUAUAACAUAUACAGAAAAAUCUAAAUUUUUAUUAUAUGGUUAUUGUGGUUGUUUAAUUUAUUUAAUAGUUUUAAAUUAAACAAAUAUGAUAGAAGAUACACUAAUUUUUUUUUAUCAAAUCUUUAUUAUUCAAAAUCAUUAAUUGCCAUAUAUACUUUAGCCACAUUAGGUAAUUCUGUAAAUUUUAUUAAAGGAAAUAAUAAAGUACAUUAAUGAUGAAUUUAUUGUUAGUUUAAUAAAAAGCUUAUUAUAUAAUUAGAUGGACCAACAUAUUUCUCUAAUGAUUCUAAGAAUCAACCUAGUGAUGACAUGUGGCUACAAAAAGAAGUUGUAAUGUUUCUCAAAUAAUAUAUAGGGGAU
Molecule: long non-coding RNA, 484 nt
Filed under: Brassica napus (rape)
Lineage: Eukaryota; Viridiplantae; Streptophyta; Magnoliopsida; Brassicales; Brassicaceae
Description: long non-coding RNA (BNAP_LNC005075)
Source: RNAcentral